CCAAGGAGCGGCUGGGGUGCCAGGUCGAGACAGGCUACACAGAUAUCAAGUCACACACAUUUUUCCGCAGUAUAGACUGGGACCAGCUGGAGAAGAAAGAGAUGACGCCGCCCUUCAAACCUCAAAUCACUGACGACUACGGCCUCGAGAACUUUGACACGCAGUUUACUAAUGAACCAGUGCAGCUAACACCAGACGAUGAGGACGUCAUCAAGAGAAUAGACCAGUCAGAGUUUGAGGGCUUCGAAUACAUCAACCCCCUGCUGCUGUCCUCAGAAGAGUCUGUAUGAAGGAGAGCAGCUCCCCCCGCCCACCUCCGGGCUGUCCAAGCUGCCGUCUCAGCCAAACCCAGUCACAAGCCAACUCUGAGAGGCGAGGAUGAGGAGGAGGAGGAGGAAGAAGAAGAAGAGGAGGAGGAAGAAGAAGAAGA
Molecule: long non-coding RNA, 430 nt
Organism: Notothenia coriiceps (black rockcod)
Lineage: Eukaryota; Metazoa; Chordata; Actinopteri; Perciformes; Nototheniidae
Exons: 3
Source: RefSeq, a predicted model, not a curated record